CCACGGGCCAUACUCCCUCCAGGAGCAGCUGGCCCUAUGUGUCAGGCACAGCUCAGCAGCCCUCCUGCGAGAGGGGGUGGUAGGCAGCUUGGGCCACAAAACCAGCUUUGGGCUUGACAGCCUCGCUCCUUUAAUUCAGCGCGGCAUGCACUCCAAAAGCUGUUUUGCCUGUUUAAAUGGGGUCUUCUGGCCAAAACCUCUGUACCUGGACAGUGAGGAUUUCUGGGACAGCCCAUCUUGCUUAAGCUCACACUGCCACACCAUGCCUUAGAAAACAAGGUGUGGAAUCCCCUCAUUGUGAAAAUUAAUGUGAACUACAGCAGAAACCUCGACAAUCAAACUUCUGUUGUGACAAAGCAACAAUAAUCUACACUGCUGUGCCAAGGCCCUGAUUCAUGUUAUAUGUGUUCCUUUACCAAGUUUUAAGAAGAGCAAAAGAUUGGGUACCUUUAAAAAAAUAACAGUAUUUCAGUGCAAAUAUAAACUUAUCAUAAGCUUCCUGAAGUACACACAGAAUAAAGGCAGUAUCACUGCAGAGAAGGUAUCUGCUUUCAAGGGGGUUUGCAUUCUCAUUGAAUGCUGGACUGGGUCCAGACCAGCCAGAGUAUAACCACCCUCUAACCUCCCUGCAGAGACUUACAGAGAUGAGACUGAAGCAGUAUGAUUUCUGACAGAAAUCAAAUCCUGGCUACUGCACUGCUGGGAACACUACAGACAAGGAAAAAAAAAAGAAAGAGGAAUUGGAAGUGAAACAAUUCUGUGGAGCUCAUUUAGAUAAUACCUUGUCAAAGGACCAGAUACAGGACACAUGAUACCUUUUACUAAAUGCUUGCAGAAGUUAAGUGUCUGCUAGCAUAAAAUUUAGUAUUAAAAAAUGGGAUGUACAAACGUUAAAGCUGAGCAGUUAUAAAACAGCUCAGUUACAUGCCCAGGUUAACCAAGCUAAACAGUAUGCCUAGUCAAAUCGCACAUAAAACCAUGGAGACUAUUUGAAAAAUACAAUUUGUUCAAAUUUCCAUCAGUUUGUAUUUCAGCAUUUGCAUCUCAGGGGACUCAUAGGGGAAUAACUCCUAGAUAAUAUGCUUCCAAAGAUUCAAAACCAAGUGACCUUAAUGGAAGCUUAUCAGUAUUAGGAUGUUGCAUUAUGGGUGCUGGGUACAUAUUCAGUACUUUCUUCUUGAUGUAAUGCACCCAGGGACAUAUAUAGGAAAAUCCCAGGACAGACUGAUGAACAGCUUCUAGAUAUUCCCUAUCUUGCAAUAAUCAUUCUGCUGUAGUGGUACAAACCUUUGAGCAGUCACACAGCAAACUGGAUCAGAAGAAUGCAUUUGUAACAUAAAUAUUAAGAUUGGUCUGAAGAGUGUAUGAACAGAAAUGUCUGUCAGUAAAAGCACCAGGAAAGACAACAGAGCAAAGUUGCAGGGAAAAAAAACAAACCACCAAACCCAAACCAUUUUGAUAACCAUGGAUGCAAUUGACAGCAAUCAAAUGGUUACACACCAAGGAAUGUGGUGUUUGCAGCAGGACCAGGAAGCCUAUGCCCUAGGAAGCCCUCAGUUGCAUUAGCAGGCCUGUGCCCUGACAGACAGAAGAUACCAGCAAGGUUGCACCACGCUAUACGUGCUGUUCCUCCCUCUUCCUGUUCUGCAAACAGGGAAGCUGACUCUAGCCAUAAAGACACCCACAGCAGGCAAACCCAGGAAACAGACAGCAAACUAAGAUUCACCUAGGCUGAGACCUCUAUUUGUAGGAGGAAUGAGAUACUGCAGACAACAGGCUUUAGCAGCAAUGGCUCUACUUUGAAGGACCUGACUUGCCUUCAACUAUGUGUCCUCUCAGGCAAUCAACACACCCUAUGAAGAACACACACCUUAAUCACACUUGAACUUAUUUUACUUCUUCCUCUUUUCUCAAAAAGCAUUUUACAUCUCACAAAAAAUUCUAAUUGUCCUACCGAAAGUUCACGCUUCUGAUUUUGCCUAUCUAGAGAAGAGUGCUUAUUCACAAACAAACCUUGAAGGAUGGAAAAAUGACAAGGAAGAUAGCAUCAAGCCAGACAAGUAUGACUGGAAACUCAGAUGUAAAGAAUUCAAGUAUUUCAGAAGGUUUCUUGAUAGAUCAGAAAUGUACAUUGUGAAAUGUGGUGGUGAAGAUGGUUUUAGGACCAUUUGUACUUCCAGAGCAUCCCCCAAAACCUGGGGGAUUCCUACUCUUCCAGGGGAGCAUGCAAAAGGUCUGCUACUACUACUCACUAUUCUCGUGAACAGCUGUAUGACAAAGGUCCUAUGCUGCAGAUUCACUUGAAUAAUGACAGGUAAGGUUAUCUUCUUGCUUUUGAGGUUUUGUUUUACUUAUUUUCCAGCCUCUUCACUUCAGCAGUUAAACGUUAAUUUCUAAGCAAAAGCAAAGCCUUAAUAUCAUUACAGCUCUUAUUUCUCGAUUUGUUCUCAAAUAGUUUCUGUCACUGUACAAGAAAGAAGACUUCAAUUGGAAAAGGAUUAAAAUAAUAAUAAAAAGUGGUCCAUUUUACUGGCACAUUAAAGAGCAACGCCAACACUAUACUAACUUUAUUCUUCCAGGGAAAGUGUUGCCUUUCCCUCUCUGUUUCAAAAAGCAUGUAUAAAUAAUAAGCCCAAUUUUCAGUCUCAACUGGGUUACCCUUUUCCUUGCUUGUAAUUUUGCAUAUGCUCGCAUAAUUACGGACUGAAAUUUGCAAAUACAAUUACUUGCUGACACACAUUGUUAUUUGAAUGAUAAAGUAUUUGAUUGUAUCCAAUGAAAACAAGAUGCGGAAGCAAAUGUGUUUUAGCAAACCUAAUGUACUAACUUAAGCUUCUGUUGUUUUAUGGAAAUAUGAUCCCCUAACAGUAUGUCUACACCCUGUAGUGAAGUAUUGUCUAGAGACCUUACAUUAAAAGCAAGAUAGCUGUCUUGCUGCAUUAUCACAUUUACACUUGCCUGGUAAGAAAUACAGCUACAUAGGAACAAUUACUUUCUACUUUUUAAACAGGAAAGUUUGCUUUCAUAAAAAUCGUCAAAUUAACAAUGGCAUAUUAACGGAGUCACAAAAUAACUACCAAAAAGAUGCUGCUAAAUUAAACUAAUUCAGAAUUCAUAUUGCAUUUUGAUGGCAGUUCAUGACAUGUAGUAAAACCACCUGGUUUCUCUCCCAAAGAGAGAAAAAGGGUUAAAUCAGAACUCACGAAAAGAAGAGCAGCUGUCAAGACUGCAGUUUAGCAAAACUAAGAGGCAUUUGAGUUCACUUAGAUUUGCCAGUGACUUUUGAAGCUACAUUUAAUUCUGGUUAUUUCAAAGUUAGCAAACCUUUUAUUAACAAAAUUCCAUAGGAAAUCCUUAAAACUGCACAUGGGGGGCUGUCUGUGGCAUGGUCCUCUCUCACUGCAGUCUUGCAGAGUUCUUGCUGGAUUUCCUAGGGCUCACCAUAAAUACAAACAACUGACCAGAAAAUCCAGAUGAGGUUCAACUGUAUUUCAAGAACAGCUAUGACCUAAUACUUUCUUGAUACAGAGGCACAGACGUGAAGCUAGGGAGAUUAUACUAAGAACUCAGUUAGUAUCUUUCAGAAGAGAAUGCAGAGUAUGGCUAAGCAGCUCACUAAUUACAUUUAAAGAUAUUACUCAGGAAAUCUAAGGAUAGGAAAGAAGUUACCGAUAUACUUAAAGGCAUUAUCAAUAAGAUCAGGAAGACAAAAGAAAAGCUUUUUGUUACUAAAAUUUUUGUCUAUAUUUGAAUAUACCGUUGUCAAUGGAAAAGAAAUCCAGAGCCUGGAGUCAUUCUGGAUUCCAAGUCUGGAAGCUGGCACUGAAUAAAAACACAGCCAAAGACACCGAGAGAUAUUUAACAAAUGAAUAUUAUACAGAAUCAAUCAACAUAACAUGAGUUACCACUUCAAACUAUUCAGAAAUGAUGGCAGUGUUCAUAUAAGGAGAGCUUAAAAGAUUCCUACAUCUUUUUUCUCUAAUUUUAUCUAGUUUCAAAGCUUUCAGAAAUCAUGUACUUAAUCUUUUCUUUGCAACUGAGAGAGCUGUAAGUUAAACUUUUUUACAGUAAGACCAAAAUUCUUACGUAUUUCCAUAAUCCGUAGUCUUGGAAGGCAGGUUUUAAAGAAAAUGCGAAUCAGUGCAUGACUACAGAGGAAGACUGCAAGAGUUGGUAACUCUAAGCCAGCAGUGACAAUGCACCAUAAAUUGGAUAUUAACUUCAGGAAGAAUCAAACAGCAAAAUUCCAGUGUAGUCUUGAAUAGUGUCAUCUUCAAAUUAUAAUCCAGGAUGUCCGCACCAUGUUGGCCAAACUACAGAUUAAAGCAUUGUACAAGUAUAAAGUCUGAGGACAGGUAGCCACUGAGAGCAGCUCAGUAUUUACUGCUGCAUUUGACAUAAGUGUUUGUUUAUGAGGGUCAGCCUGACUUCUUUGUGUUUCAAAACCCCUAGGUGACCAUACUCUAUCAUCCAUAUAUAAAUGCUCCAGCAGUCCAGGAAGAAACCCACGCUUUAUCAGAUGUAUUUACAAGACACAUCCUACCAGCACGCAGUCCAUGGCCACCAGAGAAAAGUACAAUACUUUUCUGCAUGGGCUGCCAAGCACUGCUUCCUAAAACCAACCUGAACUUGUGUUUGUAUUCCAGACUUUUGUUCCCAUUGGAGCUACACAGGAUCAAAAGCUGUUUACUCCUUUUGGUUUAGUACAUUCUACACCAACACGGUUUCAGGAAAAAGUGCCAAAACCGCCGAUCAGGGCUUUCAUGUUGUUGUUAGAGCCUAAGGAGGGAUGACACAGUGUGUUUACAGCUCAAACGGCUCUGAACUCUCCAGUUCUCUGGGCAGGAGAAAGACAGCAUGAUUGCAGUCCCCUGAUUAUGCCUUGCAUUUUUUAAAUGUUCAAAUCUUUGCAGCCUUCCCAUAGCGUUCAGUGCACUUUGACCAUAAACUGCUCCAGAGUGCAGGCAGAAACAGCUGGGAAAAUAUUAAUCCUCUCCUUAUAUGGCGAGAAUAAGAAUGAGAAAAUACAGGCUGCGUUCAAUGUGAUAAAUGUCUAAGAAAUUCCUCUUUGAGUGGAUUCCCCGAGUCUACCUUCUACAUUCACAGAACACAAAUUAUUUAGCAUAUAGAGAUAAGAAUUCGUGUCAGCUCAAGUUAAUUUUGUACCACAAUUAUCAGAAAACGCUGGUUUGACCUUUAAAAAAAAUCUAGUAUUUUCAGACUUUCACCCACUCUUAAAACUUAAUUUGAAGUGCUGUACAACAGUUCUUGCAAGUUAGACGAGCAGUUUUAUUUUGCAGACGAGGAAACAAGAUAAAAUUGUUAAGUGACUUCCCCAAGUCAUUAUUAGGUCUAGAGAAGAUUUCAGAAGACUCAAUCCUGUAUCCUGCAUUGUCCAUUAAUCAACAUUCCUAACAGAGUACGUAAGUAUAAGCUAUCACCACAAUACAUGCUUGCAUUGUAUCUACUAAAUGGCUACGUGAGUUGAAUAAAUUACAUUAAACUAAUCUGUCUUACUGGGUUGCUUUCCUGUUGGGUCAGCAUUGCAGUCUAGGUCACCACACAGCUGUAGGAGAACUGUCACAAGGAAGUGGGCAAGAACAUGUGGCCGGAGGUAGAGCAAGACCAAGUGCAGACAGAGAUAAAAUUAGACACAGAAAGCAGUGAUCUAACAAAGUCCUCUGUUUUAGCCACAGGGCGCUGUAUGUUUUUUUUUAUUUAUGUAUAAAACAUAGUAAUAUGGGGCUGAAGAAUUCAGAGAUGAACUAGUUCGACCUCCUACUCUAAGGCAGGAUCAAGUGCAUGCAGAGCGUCUAUGACUGAUGAUUAUCUAAGCUGUUCUCACCUCUAGUGAGGAUAAUUCAUUGAGUAACCCUCAGGUAGCCACUGAUGAUGCUUUACCAUCCCAGUAAUGGAAAGGUUUUAUAGUCUUUUAGCCUAAAUCACCUCUGUGGCACAUUAGAUUGAUUUCUUUGUUUCCUCUGGAAAUUAUGGCAAGCCAUUGAUCACUGUCACUUAAAUACUGACAUUUUGUGUAUCAAAGACUAAUGUCCUUUCCAGUUUCCUUUUUUUUUAGCCUAAGCAAGACAGUUCUUUCAGUCUUUGCUCUGUGGUUACCUGUUUGAAAUCUAUUAUCGUUCAGAACUUUCUCUCCUUGAGUUUUGUCUUUCUUGAAGUGAGGGAACUAAACCCAAAGUAUCCCACUGACCAGCAUCAGUACCAAACAGCAGAAAAUUACUUCCAUUGUCCAGCUGUUAAUUUACCUUUUCUGGAUGGAAAACUAAAAUAUCACUGAAGACAUUGAAUGAAUUCCAACAAUACAUUUUUAUGUAUGGAUAAUAAAAUUAAAUAUGAUGCAAGGAAAGUCCCUGCCCUAGAGAGCUAGCUCAUCUUUUGAAACAACAUAAUUACACACACAUUCUCUCACACAUUAUAAUCUGGCUAGCUGCCUAUACGACCUACAAAUUCUACUUCUUCUUAUGUACUUUCAUUUAUUCAACAGCCUUUGUUUUUCAGAAAUGCUGUGCACUAUGACUUUGGCACUACAGUCACCAGACCGAGCAGGAACAUCCUGGACGUGAUGACAGUUGCACUUACUGAUAACUGUAAGGACUGUGCUUUCAGAUGAACAUACCCACAGGAAGAGAUGCUGGCAAACUACGCUUUCUAGUUCAGACUCCAACUCUCUAUGCAGGGCAACUAACCAGUCACCUGAAGGUGCUUUUUUCUGUCUGGCCACUUGAGAGGAGAGAAAUCAAAAAGCAGAAAGUAAGGCUCCCAGCAAACAGAAAAAAGGUGGACAAAGUGCAAAAGGAUUGCUGCUGUAGUGAGGGAGCAUAAGCAGCAUUCAGGAGCAGGUCUUUCUGUCUUCAUAGGGCUUCCCAUAUUGUAUACUGCCUGUGGUCAGUUGGACUCACAUACAAAUCUUUUUUUGCCAACUUCAUCAUCCUGUACAAGCUGCCAGAAGAAGGGGAAUCCGGGGAAGCGUUGCUUAAAACUACUGGUUACAGGGACUGAUCAGUACUGGCUCUAAUGCUCUUUUUUUCCAAUUUUU
Long non-coding RNA from Pezoporus flaviventris, 7054 nucleotides. RefSeq lists it as uncharacterized. The transcript is spliced from 4 exons. The record is from RefSeq and is a predicted model, not a curated record. NCBI's taxonomy places the organism in Eukaryota, Metazoa, Chordata, Aves, Psittaciformes, Psittacidae.